RNAcentral lists this ribosomal RNA (501 nucleotides) under uncultured bacterium. Its description in RNAcentral is "partial 16S ribosomal RNA". It matches the Rfam family "Bacterial small subunit ribosomal RNA", at positions 30 to 523 of the family's 1533-position model. The record is from RNAcentral.
AUUGAACGCUGGCGGCAGGCUUAACACAUGCAGGUCGAGCGGGGGAAGGUAGCUUGCUACCGGACCUAGCGGCGGACGGGUGAGUAAUGCUUAGGAAUCUGCCUAUUAGUGGGGGACAACAUCUCGAAAGGGAUGCUAAUACCGCAUACGUCCUACGGGAGAAAGCAGGGGAUCUUCGGACCUUGCGCUAAUAGAUGAGCCUAAGUCGGAUUAGCUAGUUGGUGGGGUAAAGGCCUACCAAGGCGACGAUCUGUAGCGGGUCUGUGAGGAUGAUCCGCCACACUGGGACUGAGACACGGCCCAGACUCCUACGGGAGGCAGCAGUGGGGAAUAUUGGACAAUGGGGGGAACCCUGAUCCAGCCAUGCCGCGUGUGUGAAGAAGGCCUUAUGGUUGUAAAGCACUUUAAGCGAGGAGGAGGCUACUCUAGUUAAUACCUAGGGAUAGUGGACGUUACUCGCAGAAUAAGCACCGGCUAACUCUGUGCCAGCAGCCGCCGUAA